Felis catus (domestic cat) is the source of this 1576-nucleotide long non-coding RNA. RefSeq lists it as uncharacterized. Lineage: Eukaryota; Metazoa; Chordata; Mammalia; Carnivora; Felidae. The transcript has 3 exons. The record is from RefSeq and is a predicted model, not a curated record.
CGGGAGGAACUACAACUACGACGGCCUGGCUGCAUCAGGUUCUGGACCUGGUUUUUGCAAAUUCUUAGACUUCCGUUCUACCCUCUGUAACCAAGACCUCUUACCUUGUGACCCAGAACAUAUGUGUGUGUGCACACACACGAGGCCAAAGGCUGUGGAGAUCAGACUCCCCUACCGAUUCCCCAUGCAGGCGCCUGGAUGAGGACGUGCGGGAGCUAUUGAGUUCCUUCCUCAGUCAUGUCUCACCUCGAGUGAUCCUUCUCAAAAACAGCAUUUGAAACUGGCUCCCGAGACUCUUAGGACAAGUCCUCCCUUCCGGCUGCUGCCCCAUCAUGUCUGAGCUACCGCUUUCUGCCUACUGCUGGAAGUUCACAGUCACUGGACGCUUUCCGCAGCCACAUGAUUACACAGAGAGGCGGAUGGAUCACAGCCAGAGUCCCUCUGCUGCCUGACACGUGAGAAGCGAGUGGCCCGCCCGGCCGGCACUUGGUGUGGAGCCGCCUGACGACACUGGUGACAGAGCAGCACCUGACAGUCUGGGCUCAGGGGUCUCCUCUUGCUCUCCCCCACACAGCCUCGUCCUUGCAGGUAGUUCUAAGGCGGGACGAGCUGGAUCCUUCCGGGCUGGGGAACGGGGAGCAAGUAUAAAAUUUAUUUUGGCUCAAAUACAGGACUGGCGUUUGCUCUUUGGAAUACCUCCUAUGCGACUUCUGUCAUCGGCGAGCGAGGGAUACGGUUCCCAUCCCUAUUCAAUCGCUAAAGAUCUGAGUCGGAGAGGCAGCGGGCAGCUGGUUGCCUCAAACGCCAGCUCCUCCCCCGAUGUCCAAUCGGACGCCUCUGUACCAGCCCGUGGUAUUUUGCGCUCUAGCUUCUCCACAGAAUCCUUGCUGGAAUUCAGGCCGUGGGUCCCAGGGACACGACUCUAAGCGCUAAUUCCACCUUUCACACUUCCAGAGCUGACUGUGACUUCCCAGUUCCCAGCCCCCCUCCGCACCCCGGAGAACCACCAGUGACUUUGGCGGGGAGGGAGCGUGAGCACGUGCGGCCCUGGAACACUGUGGCCACCGGCUCGGCCACAUCCUUUUGUGGUAAUCGUCUUUGGCAAAACGGACUGUAAAUAUAUUUUUAUAAUCAGCUGGCUUCUAAAUUACAGCCGUGUGGCGUAAUGGCAGAGUAAACAUAUGAUUACUAAUUUCCUUAGGGCAGAAAGUAGAACGGUCUCGGGCUGAGUCUCUGGCUAAGGCCCAGGGCUUAAAAAGAAUUGUUCCUUCAGUACAAGAGAAAAGAGAAAACUCUCUUUCUUCCAAAGCCAAAGCAACGGGUCACGGCCUUCUUCCUGUGUGGAAACAGUUCUCCUUCCCGAGGAAGAGGGCAAGAGCAAGAUGAACUUGGGAAAGUACUCCAAGUGCUGUCUGCACGCUCAACCUCUGUCCCUGAAGUACCGCCUUCCCCAUGGCAGCCAUGGUUCCUGGCCUUCUAGAAACGACUGCUCCGGAGUUACAGAAAUGCCAUCCAACACGGACACACACAGACUACCAUGGCUCCUUAUACACCCAAGAUAAAAGAUGCAGCAUAA